GGAUGAACGCUGGCGGCGUGCCUACUACAUGCAAGUCGAGCGAACAGACGAGGAGCUUGCUCCUCUGACGUUAGCGGCGGACGGGUGAGUAACACGUGGAUAACCUACCUAUAAGACUGGGAUAACUUCGGGAAACCGGAGCUAAUACCGGAUAAUAUAUUGAACCGCAUGGUUCAAUAGUGAAAGACGGUUUUGCUGUCACUUAUAGAUGGAUCCGCGCCGCAUUAGCUAGUUGGUAAGGUAACGGCUUACCAAGGCAACGAUGCGUAGCCGACCUGAGAGGGGGAUCGGCCCCCCGGAACCUGGGACACGGUCCAGACCCCUACGGAGGCCAGAGGUGGGAAAUCUUCCGCAAGGGGGGAAGGCCGAACGAGGCACCGCGGCGUAGGGAAGGAAGGUCUUCGGACGGAAAACUCUGUUAUUAGGGAAGAACAAAUGUGUAAGUAACUAUGCACGUCUUGACGGUACCUAAGCAGAAAGCCACGGCUAACUACGU
RNAcentral lists this ribosomal RNA (496 nucleotides) under uncultured bacterium. Its description in RNAcentral is "partial 16S ribosomal RNA". It matches the Rfam family "Bacterial small subunit ribosomal RNA", at positions 27 to 506 of the family's 1533-position model. The record is from RNAcentral.